Molecule: long non-coding RNA, 1150 nt
Organism: Agelaius phoeniceus (red-winged blackbird)
Lineage: Eukaryota; Metazoa; Chordata; Aves; Passeriformes; Icteridae
Source: RefSeq, a predicted model, not a curated record
GUGAUAGAGCUCUUAGAACCACAUGAGCUGCACAAACUAAACAGAUAAAUGAUAGUUUUGUGCCUAAAGUCAACAGGGUGAGUAAGUUCCUGUCUUUUUGCAUCUUUCCCCUGGAAGAUGGGAAAGGAGGAAUAUUGAACAGCUUUAUUUGCCCCUGCUUCACUUCCCCCCACCCUUGCUCUGAUAUCUUACCCUUGCUCUGAUAUCUUACCCUUGCUUUUUUCCUGGCAGGUGGCAUCCAGUGCCUGCCACCCACUGUACUCUGGUAGCAAGUCUGAACGAGCCAUCCAGCAUUCAUUCCAAACGUGGAAGGUCCUGCAAGAGCCAACACCAUGAGCUUACAUCCAGGGACUGAGCCCUGAGAAACUUAGAAGAACAGAAUGAUGUGGAGAAACAUUGACUACCCUGGAGGCUGAUUUCAGUGUGCUUCAAGACCAAUUCAUGGUUAUGAAGGUGUCAUAUCGGAGGAAUGUGUUUCUGCUGCAUGGCACUGGCCGGAUCUGCAUUUUCACACCCAAACUGAGCUGGGUGUGGUUGCUGGGGGCAGAUGAAAAUGCUGACACUGUGCAAACCCAGCGAGUGUUGCAAAGCCUGGAACUUGGCUCAGGCUCCAGAGCCUGGCUUCCCUUUGAACUGCAGCCUUCCUUUACAGGUGGUUAAUUAGGAUGAGGUCAUCCCAAGCUCCUGUGACAAACACGGUCUGAAAUAAUUGCCUGGAUUGUGUUUAAGAAGGAAUACUGAAGGAAUUUGAAUGUUUUGGCUGUACUGUGCGUAAAAUGUAAUAUCCAUCUGCAUUCUUGUAAGAUUUAAUGAGAUUUUCUGAAAUACCAUCACUACCUCAAGGCCUUUUCUGAGGCUAGUGGCGGAUUGUCUGCCCUGACUCUCCAAGAUCCUGCAAGACUUAAUUGAUAGGUGCAAAGCUACCAAUUCCCCUCUCCCUGGCCUGGAGAAAUCUGAAUUCCUGUGUGUAUGUGUGUGUGUCCUUUUCAACCUUCAUUCCAGUCUCUCUGGGCUGACUAGUUUUACCAAGCUUCCACAUCCACUGUAAGUUUAUGUGUGGGUGACAAAAUAUUGUAAUUGAUGUAAUAAAAUAGGACUUUGCAUGUUUUGAAGAUUUUGUUGGCUUUAAAUUAAAGAAAUAUUUAAAUGA